GAUUAAGUUAUUAAGGGCGCACGGUGGAUGCCUUGGCACUAGAAGCCGAUGAAGGACGUUACUAACGACGAUAUGCUUUGGGUAGCUGUAAGUAAGCGUUGAUCCAGAGAUUUCCGAAUGGGGAAACCCAGCAUGAGUUAUGUCAUGUUAUCGAUAUGUGAAUACAUAGCAUAUCAGAAGGCACACCCGGAGAACUGAAACAUCUUAGUACCCGGAGGAAGAGAAAGAAAAAUCGAUUCCCUGAGUAGCGGCGAGCGAAACGGGAAGAGCCCAAACCAACAAGCUUGCUUGUUGGGGUUGUAGGACACUCUGUACGGAGUUACAAAGGACAAUAUUAGACGAAUCAUCUGGAAAGAUGAAUCAAAGAAGGUAACAAUCCUGUAGUUGAAAAUAUUGUCUCUCUUGAGUGGAUCCUGAGUACGACGGAGCACGUGAAAUUCCGUCGGAAUCUGGGAGGACCAUCUCCCAAGGCUAAAUACUCUCUAGUGACCGAUAGUGAACCAGUACCGUGAGGGAAAGGUGAAAAGCACCCCGGAAGGGGAGUGAAAUAGAACCUGAAACCGUGUGCUUACAAGUAGUCAGAGCCCGUUAAUGGGUGAUGGCGUGCCUUUUGUAGAAUGAACCGGCGAGUUACGAUUUGAUGCAAGGUUAAGCAGUAAAUGUGGAGCCGUAGCGAAAGCGAGUCUGAAUAGGGCGUUUAGUAUUUGGUCGUAGACCCGAAACCAGGUGAUCUACCCUUGGUCAGGUUGAAGUUCAGGUAACACUGAAUGGAGGACCGAACCGACUUACGUUGAAAAGUGAGCGGAUGAACUGAGGGUAGCGGAGAAAUUCCAAUCGAACCUGGAGAUAGCUGGUUCUCUCCGAAAUAGCUUUAGGGCUAGCCUCAAGUGAUGAUUAUUGGAGGUAGAGCACUGUUUGGACGAGGGGCCCUUCUCGGGUUACCGAAUUCAGACAAACUCCGAAUGCCAAUUAAUUUAACUUGGGAGUCAGAACAUGGGUGAUAAGGUCCGUGUUCGAAAGGGAAACAGCCCAGACCACCAGCUAAGGUCCCAAAAUAUAUGUUAAGUGGAAAAGGAUGUGGCGUUGCCCAGACAACUAGGAUGUUGGCUUAGAAGCAGCCAUCAUUUAAAGAGUGCGUAAUAGCUCACUAGUCGAGUGACACUGCGCCGAAAAUGUACCGGGGCUAAACAUAUUACCGAAGCUGUGGAUUGUCCUUUGGACAAUGGUAGGAGAGCGUUCUAAGGGCGGUGAAGCAUGAUCGCAAGGACAUGUGGAGCGCUUAGAAGUGAGAAUGCCGGUGUGAGUAGCGAAAGACGGGUGAGAAUCCCGUCCACCGAUUGACUAAGGUUUCCAGAGGAAGGCUCGUCCGCUCUGGGUUAGUCGGGUCCUAAGCUGAGGCCGACAGGCGUAGGCGAUGGAUAACAGGUUGAUAUUCCUGUACCACCUAUAAUCGUUUUAAUCGAUGGGGGGACGCAGUAGGAUAGGCGAAGCGUGCGAUUGGAUUGCACGUCUAAGCAGUAAGGCUGAGUACUAGGCAAAUCCGGUACUCGUGAAGGCUGAGCUGUGAUGGGGAGAAGACAUUGUGUCUUCGAGUCGUUGAUUUCACACUGCCGAGAAAAGCCUCUAGAUAGAAAAUAGGUGCCCGUACCGCAAACCGACACAGGUAGUCAAGAUGAGAAUUCUAAGGUGAGCGAGCGAACUCUCGUUAAGGAACUCGGCAAAAUGACCCCGUAACUUCGGGAGAAGGGGUGCUCUUUAGGGUUAACGCCCAGAAGAGCCGCAGUGAAUAGGCCCAAGCGACUGUUUAUCAAAAACACAGGUCUCUGCUAAACCGUAAGGUGAUGUAUAGGGGCUGACGCCUGCCCGGUGCUGGAAGGUUAAGAGGAGUGGUUAGCUUCUGCGAAGCUACGAAUCGAAGCCCCAGUAAACGGCGGCCGUAACUAUAACGGUCCUAAGGUAGCGAAAUUCCUUGUCGGGUAAGUUCCGACCCGCACGAAAGGCGUAACGAUUUGGGCACUGUCUCAACGAGAGACUCGGUGAAAUCAUAGUACCUGUGAAGAUGCAGGUUACCCGCGACAGGACGGAAAGACCCCGUGGAGCUUUACUGUAGCCUGAUAUUGAAAUUCGGCACAGCUUGUACAGGAUAGGUAGGAGCCUUUGAAACGUGAGCGCUAGCUUACGUGGAGGCGCUGGUGGGAUACUACCCUAGCUGUGUUGGCUUUCUAACCCGCACCACUUAUCGUGGUGGGAGACAGUGUCAGGCGGGCAGUUUGACUGGGGCGGUCGCCUCCUAAAAGGUAACGGAGGCGCUCAAAGGUUCCCUCAGAAUGGUUGGAAAUCAUUCAUAGAGUGUAAAGGCAUAAGGGAGCUUGACUGCGAGACCUACAAGUCGAGCAGGGUCGAAAGACGGACUUAGUGAUCCGGUGGUUCCGCAUGGAAGGGCCAUCGCUCAACGGAUAAAAGCUACCCCGGGGAUAACAGGCUUAUCUCCCCCAAGAGUUCACAUCGACGGGGAGGUUUGGCACCUCGAUGUCGGCUCAUCGCAUCCUGGGGCUGUAGUCGGUCCCAAGGGUUGGGCUGUUCGCCCAUUAAAGCGGUACGCGAGCUGGGUUCAGAACGUCGUGAGACAGUUCGGUCCCUAUCCGUCGUGGGCGUAGGAAAUUUGAGAGGAGCUGUCCUUAGUACGAGAGGACCGGGAUGGACAUACCUCUGGUGUACCAGUUGUCGUGCCAACGGCAUAGCUGGGUAGCUAUGUAUGGACGGGAUAAGUGCUGAAAGCAUCUAAGCAUGAAGCCCCCCUCAAGAUGAGAUUUCCCAACUUCGGUUAUAAGAUCCCUCAAAGAUGAUGAGGUUAAUAGGUUCGAGGUGGAAGCAUGGUGACAUGUGGAGCUGACGAAUACUAAUCGAUCGAAGACUUAAUCAA
Molecule: ribosomal RNA, 2923 nt
Filed under: Staphylococcus simiae
Lineage: Bacteria; Bacillati; Bacillota; Bacilli; Caryophanales; Staphylococcaceae
Description: 23S ribosomal RNA
Rfam family: Bacterial large subunit ribosomal RNA
Source: RNAcentral